RNAcentral lists this transfer RNA (76 nucleotides) under Actinomyces respiraculi. Its description in RNAcentral is "Actinomyces sp. ZJ750 tRNA-Arg". It matches the Rfam family "tRNA". Rfam says of the family: Transfer RNA (tRNA) molecules are approximately 80 nucleotides in length. The record is from RNAcentral. Lineage: Bacteria; Bacillati; Actinomycetota; Actinomycetes; Actinomycetales; Actinomycetaceae.
GCCUCCAUAGCUCAAUGGAUAGAGCGACGGCCUUCUAAUCCGCAGGUUCCCGGUUCGAGUCCGGGUGGGGGCACCA